Molecule: long non-coding RNA, 2252 nt
Organism: Oncorhynchus tshawytscha (Chinook salmon)
Lineage: Eukaryota; Metazoa; Chordata; Actinopteri; Salmoniformes; Salmonidae
Exons: 2
Source: RefSeq, a predicted model, not a curated record
ACUGGAGAGUGGACCUCAGUUCAUCUUUCAAUCACCCACGGACCUCCAUGAAAGAUGGCAAGUUGCGACAGAUGUAGCAGAAUGGGGAGUGAACAUGGAUGUUUUCCUACAGGAAGCUGCGAUUCGAGCCAAAUGUUGCAUUUUUAAUCCUAGCUGAUAGGAUUGAGAGCCUGGAAGACCAGAUGAGAAUGUUGCAGACAGUCUUUCUGGUGGAACCCAGAUCGUUUGUGUUACUUACUCUGAUUAAUCCAUCAUUAAGGGGAUUUUAGACCGCUUCCCAUUUCUCAACUAUUAAUCAAGAUUAGGAUUUCGCUCUCCAAACUUUUGUAGUUUAUCUUUGAAAUAAUUUACAUGCAACUGUAUCACCCCUUCUCUCUAAGCCAGUGAACAGGCACAAGACAAGGUUUAGGUGAAAUUGGCCUCCUCUCUGCUGAGGGAGAUCUUAUUAAAAACCCAUAUUUAAAAAAAAUAUUUUUGAGAUCCUCUUAACAAUCAUAUGAAAUGGUCCUCAGAUACGAUACGUUUUGCCUAUCAUUUUGCCAUUUCAUCAUUUUGUUAUUUGGCCAUUCACAUCAGGUUUAUGAUAAUUUCAUAGUGGGUAAAGUGAUACUUAAGGAUUUUGGCAAUGAAGCCCUUUACAGUAUCUACUUCCACGAGUCAGAUGAACUCAUGGAUACCAUUUUUAUGUCCCUGUAACCUGUACGGAGGUAGUUAUGUGAGCCAAUGCUAAUUAGCGUUAGCACAAUGACGGAGUCUAUGGUAUCUGCUAGCAGUUACCAUAGACCUCUAGUCUAUGCACCAACGCUAGUUAGCAACUUCCUUCAAACUGCACACAGAGACACAAAAAUGGUAUCCACAAGUACAUCUGACUCUGGGGAAAGUAGAUAAAGGGCUUCAAAAUCCUGAAGUAUCCCUUUAAAGUCGUGGUCUGCCCACCCACUAUAUCUAACUAUAAGAGGAGCUAAUGCAGUCAUCACUAUGGACAUCAUUAAGCUACUCUACUCUGUCGGCUGUAAUGAAUUGCUCCCGCACAGUAGGAAUUAAGUGUGUCAGUUGUACUGUAGCUACUGUGUGAUUGAGCUGUACUGUGGUAGGUCUAUAGAAUUGUAUGAUAGUGAAUUAUAGGAUCUCUAUGGGUAGGUCUGUGUGUGUGUCAGCUGUACUGUAGGACUGUGUGUGUGUGUCAGUGUAUUUCAGCCAUAUGGCAGCACUGUGUGCUACAUUGUUCCUUUAAUCAGCUGUUCUGAAGGCCCCCUCCAGUAAAACCAUGUUCCUAUUCGGCCUGGUAAUAAAGAAAUGCAGCGGCCAUAACUAAAGCCAAACAAGUUUCUUGUGUGUGUGUGUCCGCACGGCAAGCAUUUGUACAUUCUCUAUGCCAAAACAGUACAGAGUUACUGUAGUCACUCACCUUUCUAGUCAUCUUGAAACAGCUAGGUCUAGUCUUGAAGUCACUUAGGGGAAAUUCAACGGUAAUGGAAUUAUGCUUUGACUCAGGUAUUUCACUGUAAAAUCUAUGCCAAACAAAAAUCAUUGAUUUCAAAGUUUAACAACCCAUACAACUCUAUGCACAAGGACUACUUUGAACAAUUUACACAGUAUAUUUUACAAUAACACAUUUACUGGAUGAUCUGUGCCGAUGCAAUGUUUGGUAACAGAAUUAUGGUAAAAUCUCCCUCAGUUUUUUAUGCGACCACGUUUUCAAAAAAUCUGUUCCGAAUUAAUAUUCAAAGAUGUCUGCAGAAAGAAUGAGGUGGUGUCAGCUAUAGGGCUGUGGCGGUCUUGGAAUUGGAGGUUACAGUAAUUGGCCAGGCCAAUAUACACGGUCAAUGACAUAACUGUUAAAGGUAGGCUUUAUUUCUGCAGCUUCUCUAUUACCAUUACACAUCGUUAUUAUCAGUAGCAUUUCAUUAUUUUUAUUACCUUAUUAACUCUAAAUAUUAGUCUCGUAUACAAAUUAAGAAAUGUCAGAAAGGAGAGGAUUGUCACAUUUUUAUAUUGACACAACUUAACACAGGCUAUCGGCCUCAAAAGAAACGUGCAAUUUCGCUAUUGCAUUACACAUCGUUACUGGUUUCUUUCCUUUUUCAUUUAUUUUUCGGAUUGUUUCUGAUGUGUCCAUUUUGUUUAAAUGUGUGUUACUGUUGUCUUAGGCUUUUAAGACCCUAUGUAAAAAAAAAAAAACUUAAAAAAAAAAAAUUCUGUUUGUAUACUUGUUUACAUGGAUGCUUCUUAAUAAAACGUAUUUUAAACCA